Molecule: non-coding RNA, 2925 nt
Organism: Petromyzon marinus (sea lamprey)
Lineage: Eukaryota; Metazoa; Chordata; Hyperoartia; Petromyzontiformes; Petromyzontidae
Source: RefSeq, a predicted model, not a curated record
GAGGGAAAAAGCAGAGAACUCGGAGAAAAAUCCAUGCAAACUCCAAAUACACAGUAGGUGUCAGGAUCCAGAUCAAACCCAUGACCUCCUGUAUACCAGGCGAGGUAGUUAACAUCUCACCAACGCAAAUGCUAAACUCUCAUUGGAUAGGAAAUGUCAGAGGGGGGAGGAGCUGACUUAGAGCAUGCCCAAUGGAAUUUGAAGGUGGAGAACGCUCAAAUCGGAUUGGUUGUCAGGGAAGACUGAAUGGAUUUUUUUGGGCGUACGGUUGGUGACCGUCUUAGAGGAGAUUAAUGGGAUCAAAUGAUUGGCCUACGCCAGAGAUGGACUCCUUCAUGGUGUCGUCUCACCAGUGUUAGGCCAGAGAAUGCAAAAAGGCGAAAUGGCACGAAGGAAUGCCAAUAUCAAAGUAUCAAUAAGCUCGGGUUCAACAGUUAUAGAUAGGUACAACAAAUGUUUAUUGUACAAAAGCAGAUUUCAUCCGUCGCAUCGAAGUGAAUCAACAUCGUUGGGAAAGAAUGGUUAACAUUUUAAACUAUGUUUUCCUUUUAAUGCUGACCCUUCUAACCCCACCCCCCAUGCCUAGUCUCAGCAGCAGCAACAUCAGCAGCAGGACGACCAUCAUCAGUACGAAUACAUCGACGGGAAAUUCCCAUCCCACAAUCUGGAGUCACAACAGCCACCCCCUGGCAGUGCCGAAUUCUACAAUGCGCAUGCAAAAACCACUUCCAACUGGAACAACCACAGAGAACAUCUGUAUGAGAACAACCUGAAUUCUACUGAAUCGAACCCACAAAACCAAGAGGGCGUUCACUACCAGCCUCUGAAGCCGUCCACAGAGAAAACUUACGAUAAAUUACACCAUCCCACAUACGAGAAUGUAUGAGACUGAGCACUUUCAGCACAUUGCACUAAAACAACACGGUUAAAACCAAUGUACACGAGUUAAUUAGGAGUUUAAUUUAUUCGAGAAUUGUGACGUGCCCACGUAAUAAGCACUUUGGAGGUGGAGUUGGUGCAUACAAUAGGAUCAUGUUCGGUGAUGGUUUUAUCUUUAAGUCGUCCAAAGUGAGGUACAGGGGAAGGACAAUAAAAUAAAAACACGAAAAGCAGUUCUAUAGAAAUGCGUUUUAAAUCUAGGCUUAUCCGUGUGGACUUUGGGCAUGGAUCUCCUUGUGUACGCGGUGGGUUUAUUCUGGCUCUCCAAUGUAUUGCCCAUAUCAUGAAGAUAAAAUGUACUCAAAUUUGCUAAACAUCUGAAGCAGAACUAUGCGAGCAUCAUUUGUAAGCAGUUUGAGAUGCAGGUAGACCAGCACAGCGCGUGUUACAACUUUAAUGACUCUCGGACAACACGAACUGUAGAGGGUUGCUUUAGUUCGCUUCACGUGGAUUACUUGGUCAGGGAUGACACGCGAGUGGCGACGAGGCGAAGACAGCGUAGACGCGACGAAAGCGACGAAAGUGAUGACGCAAAGACAGCGACGAUGUGGAGACAGCGACGGCGUGAAGACAGUCGACCCCGAUCCCACGGCAGCCCCGAACCUCGCCUAUCUCCCCUUUUUAUCCAAGGCGUGGCCCUCACUCCGCCCUCGGCCACAACCCCAUUUUCGACCUCUCUAGAUCUUCCCAGAUGGUUCCCUUAUUCUCAUAACUCCCCUAUGUAAAUAUUCACCCUGUAAUUACUCCCCGUAACACACAUACACACACAGACAUGUAAUUAUCGGUGAUCAGCUGUAUUUGAGUCUGUAUUGAAAACUCACUUCUUCAAACUGGCCUCCACCCCCUAAUUCUGUUUUUAUUUCCUCCUUUCCAUACAUGGCCAAUUUGGGAUAUGUAUACAGAUUAAAUGUGUCUUGUAAAUGUAAAUAUUUAUCAUUAUUAUUAACUGAACAAUACAUGACAUAGGUCCUGGGCUUGGCCAGUUCCGAGUCGAGUGGUGAGUGAUGGAGGACGGUGCAGGGUUGGAUUGUAGAUCCCCGAUAUUCGGCUUUUUAAAUAAAAAAUAAAACAUUUGUAUCGGCAUCUAUGCCACUGAUGUGUUCCGGAUUUUUUUUACGUAUGUAAUGACCGAGAUAACAGACCGCUUACCUGACACAAGCGUACGGUCAGACCAACAAUCAGAAAGUAGUCCAAGGCCUCCCAUUGGUGCAAAGAGGCCUUCACAGUGGUUGGUCGGGAGCAAAAAUUGAAAGGGAUUGGAGGAAAGAUUUUAAAGGUAAAAAAGCGGGAAGCAAGGGUAGACUGCAGAAGAACAGUUGAGAACCUUUGGUGGGGAAGGGUCAGGAUUGGCCGAAGGGAGUGGGGUGGUUGAAGCUUACAGAGAGGGGGGCUUGGGAGGUAUAAAAGGAGACAGCACAAGGAGAGGGAACGUUGGAAAGAACACGGAGCUCAUCUCAUGAACCAAGCCUGGCCAUCGUUCGUGCUGUCUGAAUAAAAGGCUCUUAAGAAGGCACCACGUGUAUUGGUGUCACUACACAGGUCCAAUGAACCAACAAAACAAUUGAUUCGUGUUUCCUUAAAAUGUUAUGCUUGCCAGUUGGUAUAGCUUUUUCACCAUCCACUCCCUCGUGUGCUACAGUGCCGGCUUUCAUAGGUGCUAGCGAAGAGCACUUGCACCAACAGUCUGUUAGGCUAUACGGGGGACCUUUGUAUUGCUAUUUGCUAAAGGGUCUGGUAGAGGGAGCUCUGAUACUAUUAGCGAGAGGUUGAGAGCAGCUGAGGUGUGUGCACUUCAGUCGCCAGCACGUUUGGGGUCGUACAACGCUAGCCGUGUCCCAUCAAUACCUCACCAACUCUUAUCCACAGCAUCAGUCUCUGGACGUAGCCUAUUCAAUGUUUUCUACAACAAAAGUAUUAAUGUGCAUUUCGCAAUACAUCAAGCGUUUAGCUUGAAAAUGUAGAGAAGCCGUGCUUUAUCUACGGGAC